Molecule: ribosomal RNA, 494 nt
Filed under: uncultured bacterium
Lineage: Bacteria
Description: partial 16S ribosomal RNA
Rfam family: Bacterial small subunit ribosomal RNA
Source: RNAcentral
GACCGCUGGCGGCGUGCCUAAUACCUGCAAGUCGAGCGAACAGACGAGGAGCUUGCUCCUCUGACGUUAGCGGCGGACGGGUGAGUAACACGUGGAUAACCUACCUAUAAGACUGGGAUAACUUCGGGAAACCGGAGCUAAUACCGGAUAAUAUAUUGAACCGCAUGGUUCAAUAGUGAAAGACGGUUUUGCUGUCACUUAUAGAUGGAUCCGCGCCGCAUUAGCUAGUUGGUAAGGUAACGGCUUACCAAGGCAACGAUGCGUAGCCGACCUGAGAGGGUGAUCGGCCACACUGGAACUGAGACACGGUCCAGACUCCUACGGGAGGCAGCAGUAGGGAAUCUUCCGCAAUGGGCGAAAGCUUGACGGAGCAACGCCGCGUGAGUGAUGAAGGUCUUCGGAUCGUAAAACUCUGUUAUUAGGGAAGAACAAAUGUGUAAGUAACUAUGCACGUCUUGACGGUACCUAAUCAGAAAGCCACGGCUAACUACGUG